GUUACAAUAAACAGGCACAAGAUGAUUAUGAACACACAGUCCGGACCUCGGUAUUUACAGACAACAGACACCACCUCGGUUCCUUUGAGAGACCUCCUGGCCAUGAUGUGUCAUGCAUGCAUUUCAGAAGACUGAUGGUCAAAGAGCGAGUCCUGCUGUGAUUUCAAAUGGCAGUCUCAGGAAGGGCUGGGAUUCAAAGACGGGAGCCCAGUUUUGAGAUAUCAGACUCCUUACUCAGGAAAUUUAACCUCCUUGGCCUGUUCUUCAAAACUUCUUGGUUUCUGGAAUCUCCCUGAAAUCUGUGGAAGCCACAGGUGCCCAGCGCAUUUGUAAAACUAGACCACAUGUUACUCCAUUAAUUUUCAUACAAAAAUUUAAGCCCCUGUUUUUCCAAUACUCUGUCUGCAGUUCAGCUGGUAUAAGUGUUGGAGCCAAGGGCAGAGCAAUUCUAUGGACUUGUCAGUUGCUCAGAUGAAUGUAUUUCAAUUUCUAGCUUAUUGUGGUGUAUUUUUUUUCCUAGUGAUAAAACACCAGCACCAACGAAUGAAGAAUUCAAGGAAAGUUUCUCGCAUAGCUUAGCUACUGAUUUUAAGUAGCUAGACACAUGGUUUGUUUGAACACGAAUGAACACAGCUUUGGUUUACAUAAGGAAUAUCUAAUAUCUAACUUGACGAGCAAGUGAAAUAUUUUUGUACCAGAACAGCACAAAACAGCACUGCCCAUAAACAGUGAGCUGCAUUUAUAAUGAACUUAGCUGUGCUUUGAGAAAGCAAUAUCUGGAGGGUAUUUGUACUUAAUGAGGCAGGGGACAAUGAGUUAAAAGAACAAAAUUCCCACAGUAGGGGAAAAAUAAAAAUUAAACUGAAACUGGGAGUAAAGCGUAUGGCUCCUUACAAAGAAGUCAGAGCAACUUCUGUCAGAGCUCUACUGUCUGAAUUGACAAACAAAAUCACGCUAAUAGAUGAUAAAAACAUUAAGAAAUCUUCUACAAUCACAGUAUUUCUGCUGUUACAUCACAAGUCUCACAGAACAGCUUUGCAAAUAAAAGUAUAUAGACU
Molecule: long non-coding RNA, 1058 nt
Filed under: Gallus gallus (chicken)
Lineage: Eukaryota; Metazoa; Chordata; Aves; Galliformes; Phasianidae
Description: long non-coding RNA NONGGAT011814
Source: RNAcentral